CUAGGCUGAGGCCAGCUGAAAGCUGUAGAUAAAAUUGGCUGCUGACCGUCAAGGCUGCAGAUCCAAAAGGAACUCAGUGUCUCCUGCGGUGAGACUCUUACACUGUUCCGUUCUCCUUCUCAGUACCAACGGUAAUAACAGCAUAGCGACAACAUCACGCAGAAUCUAAUUACCAGGAUCACAGUGCCUCAGGCUUUGAUUUCUGCUGGCAGGCAUCUUCUCAGAUGGAACAGGUUGCAUUCUCCUAUAGGAACAUGGAAAGGGAAAUAUCAAUGCUUGGAGUCCUCGGGGAAGGGGAGACAUGCCCAAAGCAAGAUCCAACUUCUGUGCUACCAUGUACCUGGGGCAGGCAGCACGAGAGGAUUUUUCUCUAAUAAUCACUGUGCCAACCCACUCAAGCUCCUGGAGGUAAAACUGAAAAGGUAAAUUUUUAUUGAAGCAUCAUGUACCAAUGGAAAAGCACCCAGAUCAUAAUUAUACAGCUUAUUCUGUAUAAUUACAUGCACAGUGAGCCUACCCAUGUAACCAGUACCCAGAUUUAGAGGUGGGACAUUCCAAACAACCUGAAAUCAUCCCCUAUCUCCUCUCAGGACCUAUCCUCUGAAAGAAUCAUACUUAAAUUUGGAGGAAUGGAUUUCUGCUACUACCCCCAUGCAAAUUAUGUGCAUUGCAUACUUGAGGGAUGUGAUGACUUUCAGAUACUUCUGAUGCUUUGGGGCAAAUGCAGAUUGAAUAUGCUGUUGGGCAAUUGACUGAUGGUUCCACUAACUGAUAUUCAAGUGACUUGAGAGUUAAUGUAAAGGUAAAUGGCUUCGAUACCAAGACAAAAAAAAACGUGUUUGACUAUAUCUGAGUCAUACAUUCUCAUUACUGUUGGAAAGAAGGAUUUGUAUUUGGCAGAUCUUUUCAGUUACACACUAUAAAGGAAGAAAAUGUUUUGUUCAGCCUGGCAAGAACAGUAUUUUCCCUUUUAGAUUUAUUUUUAAAAAUAAGUUGCUGAUUGAAAAGUCACACAGGUAAAUCAACUUCUAUAGAAGUAAUGACAUUCCCAGACCAGCAGGCUUUAGUUCAAAAUACUAAACCACGCACCGUCUGGAAUAUUCAUUUCCAAAUGCUGUGCCAAUGGGAUCAAACCCUGGCAUGCUCAACCUAUAUUUGAACGAGUAACAUACUUUUAAAAUAGAACUGGUAAAUCAAAACGUUUAGAUUUGGCUCAGAGAUAUACCGACAUGCUUCAUGUUUAGUUUACAUUUUAAUAGGAAGCAUCAGCACCUGGCUGUAUAGUAAUCAUGGAAGAAAGUGAUAAUUGUUACAAACAACAAAAAAACAAAAAACACACAAGGUUGUCCAGAAGCAACCUUGUCUAUGUUUUAAAUGUAUAGUAGAUGGUUUUUGAGUCUAGGUGGGGUUAACAGGACCAUUUUGACUAGGAGAACUGAAGUGUU
Felis catus (domestic cat) is the source of this 1445-nucleotide long non-coding RNA. RefSeq lists it as uncharacterized. The record is from RefSeq and is a predicted model, not a curated record. The transcript has 5 exons. Lineage: Eukaryota; Metazoa; Chordata; Mammalia; Carnivora; Felidae.